Molecule: ribosomal RNA, 404 nt
Filed under: uncultured bacterium
Lineage: Bacteria
Also listed under: 1 other name
Description: partial 16S ribosomal RNA
Rfam family: Bacterial small subunit ribosomal RNA
Source: RNAcentral
UGGGGAAUAUUGGACAAUGGGCGAAAGCCUGAUCCAGCAAUGCCGCGUGAGUGAUGAAGGCCUUAGGGUUGUAAAGCUCUUUUACCAGGGAUGAUAAUGACAGUACCUGGAGAAUAAGCUCCGGCUAACUCCGUGCCAGCAGCCGCGGUAAUACGGAGGGAGCUAGCGUUGUUCGGAAUUACUGGGCGUAAAGCGCGCGUAGGCGGCUUUUCAAGUCAGGGGUGAAAUCCCGGGGCUCAACCCCGGAACUGCCCUUGAAACUGGAUGGCUAGAAUACUGGAGAGGUGAGUGGAAUUCCGAGUGUAGAGGUGAAAUUCGUAGAUAUUCGGAAGAACACCAGUGGCGAAGGCGACUCACUGGACAGUUAUUGACGCUGAGGUGCGAAAGCGUGGGGAGCAAACAGG